GAAUGGACUAGGUCGGGCAGGUAGGCCCUGCUCUUUACCCGUGAGACAGUCUUUAGCGGGGACCGAACUGCCGGGGCGUCGGUCGAACCGUCACAGGCCUCGGGAGCCAACGUCGAAACCUCGUCCGUCGGGGACAGCGGUUCCGGUGUACUCACCCGCAGGGGUGUCACACGCCGGUUGGUCGGCGACAGUGGGUCAGGCGCGGAAGCGAGCAGCCCAUCGCCGGACGCCCGUCGCUCGCCGGAUCGCGGGGUGGAGGAGGCAACCGAGAAUCCCUGUGUCCGGAACGGUCGGCAAACCGGCCUGUCCGUCA
RNAcentral lists this signal recognition particle RNA (313 nucleotides) under Halonotius terrestris. RNAcentral describes it as "Archaeal signal recognition particle RNA". It matches the Rfam family "Archaeal signal recognition particle RNA". Lineage: Archaea; Methanobacteriati; Methanobacteriota; Halobacteria; Halobacteriales; Haloferacaceae. The record is from Rfam by way of RNAcentral.